This 454-nucleotide ribosomal RNA is filed under the name uncultured bacterium. Its description in RNAcentral is "bacterial SSU rRNA". It matches the Rfam family "Bacterial small subunit ribosomal RNA", at positions 28 to 507 of the family's 1533-position model. The record is from RNAcentral.
GAUGAACGCUAGCGGCAGGCUUAAUACAUGCAAGUCGAGCGGUGCAGUUUGAAGCUUCGGUGGAAAGCUGCAUAGCGGCGGACGGGUGAGGAAAACGUAGGAACGUGCCCCUUGGAGUUGGAUAGCCACGGGAAACUGUGGGUAAACCGACAUAGACUCGAGAGAGUAAAGGCCGAAAGGCGCCAAGGGAGCGGCCUGCGGCCCAUCAGGUAGUUGGUAGUGUAAAGGACUACCAAGCCGACGACGGGUAGCCGGUCUGAGAGGAUGGCCGGCCACAAGGGCACUGAGACACGGCCCAGACUCCUACGGGGGGCAGCAGUAGGGAAUUUUCGGCAAUGGGCGAAAGCCUGACCGAGCGACGCCGCGUGAGGGACGAAGGCCUUCGGUUGUAAACCUCUGUCUGGGGGAGUGAGAACGGACGGUACCCCCGGACGGAAGCCCGGCUAACUACGUG